CAUAGGCGAUGAUCCGGAUCACCCCUCCAGCGUGGACCACAAUUCUGUCCCUGACGCUGGCGUCUAGCUGAAGAUCAGAGAGAGAGAAAGAAACAGUGGUGUGAGAGGAACAUCAACUGGUUGUCUCCCAUAUGUGCCCCGACUGGGGACUGAAGCCCGCAACUGAGGUAUGUGCCCUAAUGGGGAAUCAAACCCGUGGCCCUUCAGUUUAUGGGAUGACAUUUGAGUGAGCUGAGCCACACCGUCCAGAGGUAUUUUUUUGAUUUCUUAAUCCAAAAAAUACAGAUAAAUUAAUGGGAUUGAGAAUAACAACUACAUUAUUAGUUAAUCCGUGGUACAAUUCCAUAAUGCAAAUGUUAAUUACCUUUUCCCAUUCUUCUUUUCCUUCUUCUUUAUAUUCAACAAUAUAUCCAGUUACUUUGGAUCCACCAUCUUUUAGUGGAGGAGACCACUCCAAAUCUGCAGUUGACUUGGUCCAGUCUGUGACUUGGGGAAAUGGAGGACCAGGAGGGGCUGGAAAGAACCAGUAUAUGUUAGUAUCUUUGACUUUCCCAUGGCACUUUGGAAAAAUUAAAUUAAAAAAGUGGUUUCAAGGCUUACCAACUGGAUCUCUAGCGGUCACAGGGUCUGAUGGCAGGCUUGCUGGGCCCACGCCAGCAGCAUUGAUGGCAUAUACCCGGAACUGAUAAUCAGAACCUUCGAUAAGACCGGUCACUUUAUAAGAAACCCCCAAAGUCAUGGCUUUGAUAGGAUCUCUGUUAACUCUCUUCCAUCUCUUUGAAGUGGUGUCUUUCAUUUCCAGCCAGUAUCCCGUCACAGGUGAGCCUCCAUCAUAUUCUGGCUCUUCCCAGUUGACAGUCAUGGAGUUACGAGUUACACUGCUGACUGUUGGUUUAUCGGGUGCUCCGGGGACAG
Long non-coding RNA from Artibeus jamaicensis (Jamaican fruit-eating bat), 915 nucleotides. RefSeq lists it as uncharacterized. The transcript is spliced from 2 exons. NCBI's taxonomy places the organism in Eukaryota, Metazoa, Chordata, Mammalia, Chiroptera, Phyllostomidae. The record is from RefSeq and is a predicted model, not a curated record.